This 425-nucleotide ribosomal RNA is filed under the name uncultured bacterium. Its description in RNAcentral is "partial 16S ribosomal RNA". It matches the Rfam family "Bacterial small subunit ribosomal RNA", at positions 355 to 774 of the family's 1533-position model. The record is from RNAcentral.
UGGGGAAUAUUGCACAAUGGGCGCAAGCCUGAUGCAGCCAUGCCGCGUGUAUGAAGAAGGCCUUCGGGUUGUAUAGUACUUUCAGCGGGGAGGAAGGCGAUAAGGUUAAUAACCUUGUCGAUUGACGUUACCCGCAGAAGAAGCACCGGCUAACUCCGUGCCAGCAGCCGCGGUAAUACGGAGGGUGCAAGCGUUAAUCGGAAUUACUGGGCGUAAAGCGCACGCAGGCGAUCUGUCAAGUCGGAUGUGAAAUCCGCGGGCUCAACCUGGGAACUGCAUUCGAAACUGGCAGUCUAGAGUCUUGUAGAGGGGUAGAAUUCCAGGUGUAGCGGUGAAAUGCGUAGAGAUCUGGAGGAAUACCGGUGGCGAAGGCGGCCCCCUGGACAAAGACUGACGCUCAGGUGCGAAAGCGUGGGGAGCAAACA